GUCGGAUGUGAAAUCUCGGGGCUUAACUCCGAAACUGCAUUCGAUACUACCGUGCUUGAGGACUGGAGAGGAGACUGGAAUUUACGGUGUAGCGGUGAAAUGCGUAGAUAUCGUAAGGAAGACCAGUGGCGAAGGCGAGUCUCUGGACAUUUCCUGACGCUGAGGCACGAAAGCCAGGGGAGCAAACGGG
RNAcentral lists this ribosomal RNA (190 nucleotides) under uncultured Spartobacteria bacterium. RNAcentral's name for it is "partial 16S ribosomal RNA". It matches the Rfam family "Bacterial small subunit ribosomal RNA", at positions 587 to 776 of the family's 1533-position model. Lineage: Bacteria; Pseudomonadati; Verrucomicrobiota; Spartobacteria. The record is from RNAcentral.